This 159-nucleotide ribosomal RNA is filed under the name Bacteroidota bacterium. RNAcentral describes it as "Bacteroidetes bacterium (activated sludge metagenome) partial 23S ribosomal RNA". It matches the Rfam family "Bacterial large subunit ribosomal RNA", at positions 2750 to 2925 of the family's 2925-position model. Lineage: Bacteria; Pseudomonadati; Bacteroidota. The record is from RNAcentral.
UACGUUGGGAAGGGAUAAGCGCUGAAAGCAUCUAAGCACGAAACCCACUUCAAGAUGAGUUCUCAUAGGGUCGUCGAAGACUACGACGUUGAUAGGUUACAGGUGUAAAGAUGGUAACAUCAAAGCCGAGUAAUACUAAUAACCCAUCGACUUUUUAAA